GAGUGAUGAUGACCUGAUUGAACAUCGGCGUCAUCUCGAACCUCCAUCAUUAUUUCUUAUUUCUCCCCCUGUUGAUUAAUAACAGACAAACGAAUACAGGUUAGAGAGAGAAGAAUAACAGACAAACGAAUACAGGUUAGAGAGAGAAGAGAUGAGAGAGAAAGAGAGAGGAGAGAGAGAGAGAGAGGAGAUUGAGAAUUGGUUGCACGAGUGCUCUUGGCUUGGGUGGGGCCCGCAUCACCC
Molecule: long non-coding RNA, 243 nt
Filed under: Erythranthe guttata (spotted monkey flower)
Lineage: Eukaryota; Viridiplantae; Streptophyta; Magnoliopsida; Lamiales; Phrymaceae
Description: long non-coding RNA (EGUT_LNC003719)
Source: RNAcentral